GACGAACGCUGGCGGCGUGCUUAACACAUGCAAGUCGAACGAUGAUGCUCCAGCUUGCUGGGGUUGAUUAGUGGCGAACGGGUGAGUAACACGUGAGUAACCUGCCCCCCUCUUUGGGAUAACCUCGGGAAAUCGGGGCUAAUACCGGAUAUUCUGAUUCUGCCGCAUGGUGGGGUUUGGAAAGAUUUAUCGGUGGGGGAUGGACUCGCGGCCUAUCAGUUUGUUGGUGGGGUAGUGGCCUACCAAGACUACGACGGGUAGCCGGCCUGAGAGGGCGACCGGCCACACUGGGGCUGAGAUACGGCCCAGACUCCUACGGGAGGCAGCAGUGGGGAAUAUUGCACAAUGGGCGAAAGCCUGAUGCAGCGACGCCGCGUGGAGGAUGAAGGCCUUCGGGUUGUAAACUCCUUUCAGUAGGGAAGAAGCGAAAGUGACGGUACCUGCAGAAGAAGCGCCGGCUAACUACGUGCCAGCAGCCGCGGUAAUACGUAGGGCGCAAGCGUUGUCCGGGAAUUAUUGGGCGUAAAGAGCUCGUAGGCGGUUGGUCGCGUCUGCUGUGAAAACCCCGAGGCUCAACUUCGGGCUUGCAGUGGGUACGGGCCAUCUAGAGUGCGGUAGGGAGAGACUGGGAAUUCCUGGUGUAGCGGUGGAAUGCGCAGAUAUCAGGAGGAAACACCGAUGGCGAAGGCAGGUCUCUGGGCCGCUACUGACGCUGAGGAGCGAAAGCAUGGGGAGCGAACAGGAUUAGAUACCCUGGUAGUCCAUGCCGUAAACGUUGGGCACUAGGUGUGGGGCUCAUUCCACGAGUUCCGUGCCGCAGCUAACGCAUUAAGUGCCCCGCCUGGGGAGUACGGCCGCAAGGCUAAAACUCAAAGGAAUUGACGGGGGCCCGCACAAGCAGCGGAGCAUGCGGAUUAAUUCGAUGCAACGCGAAGAACCUUACCAAGGCUUGACAUAUACAGGAAACAUGCAGAGAUGUGUGCCCCUUUUAGGUCUGUAUACAGGUGGUGCAUGGUUGUCGUCAGCUCGUGUCGUGAGAUGUUGGGUUAAGUCCCGCAACGAGCGCAACCCUCGUCCUAUGUUGCCAGCACGUUAUGGUGGGGACUCAUGGGAGACUGCCGGGGUCAACUCGGAGGAAGGUGGGGAUGACGUCAAAUCAUCAUGCCCCUUAUGUCUUGGGCUUCACGCAUGCUACAAUGGCCGGUACAAACCGUUGCGAUACCGUGAGGUGGAGCGAAUCGGAAAAAGUCGGUCUCAGUUCGGAUUGGGGUCUGCAACUCGACCCCAUGAAGUCGGAGUCGCUAGUAAUCGCAGAUCAGCAACGCUGCGGUGAAUACGUUCCCGGGCCUUGUACUCACCGCC
RNAcentral lists this ribosomal RNA (1362 nucleotides) under uncultured bacterium. RNAcentral describes it as "partial 16S ribosomal RNA". It matches the Rfam family "Bacterial small subunit ribosomal RNA", at positions 28 to 1394 of the family's 1533-position model. The record is from RNAcentral.